AGUGAACGCUGGCGGUAGGCCUAACACAUGCAAGUCGAACGGCAGCACAGUAAGAGCUUGCUCUUACGGGUGGCGAGUGGCGGACGGGUGAGGAAUAUAUCGGAAUCUACUUUUUCGUGGGGGAUAACGUAGGGAAACUUACGCUAAUACCGCAUACGACCUACGGGUGAAAGCAGGGGAUCUUCGGACCUUGCGCGAUUGAAUGAGCCGAUGUCGGAUUGGCUAGUUGGCGGGGUAAAGGCCCACCAAGGCGACGAUCCGUAGCUGGUCUGAGAGGAUGAUAACCCACACUGGAACUGAGCCACGGUCCAGACUCCUACGGGAGGCAGCAGUGGGGAAUAUUGGACAAUGGGCGCAAGCCUGAUCCAGCCAUACCGCGUGGGUGAAGAAGGCCUUCGGGUUGUAAAGCCCUUUUGUUGGGAAAGAAAAGCAGCAGGUUAAUACCCCGCUGUUCUGACGGUACCCAAAGAAUAAGCACCGGCUAACUUCGUG
Molecule: ribosomal RNA, 492 nt
Filed under: uncultured bacterium
Lineage: Bacteria
Description: partial 16S ribosomal RNA
Rfam family: Bacterial small subunit ribosomal RNA
Source: RNAcentral